Molecule: ribosomal RNA, 253 nt
Filed under: uncultured bacterium
Lineage: Bacteria
Description: partial 16S ribosomal RNA
Rfam family: Bacterial small subunit ribosomal RNA
Source: RNAcentral
UACGAAGGGUGCAAACGUUGCUCGGAAUUAUUGGGCGUAAAGCGCACGUAGGCGGCUUGGCAAGUCGGAUGUGAAAUCCCUCGGCUCAACCAAGGAAGUGCAUCCGAAACUGCUGAGCUUGAGUACUUAAGAGGAUCGCGGAAUUCCCGGUGUAGAGGUGAAAUUCGUAGAUAUCGGGAAGAACACCGGUGGCGAAGGCGGCGACCUGGUCCGAUACUGACGCUGAGGCGCGAAGGCGUGGGGAGCGAACGGG